This 421-nucleotide ribosomal RNA is filed under the name uncultured Bacteroides sp. Its description in RNAcentral is "bacterial SSU rRNA". It matches the Rfam family "Bacterial small subunit ribosomal RNA", at positions 355 to 773 of the family's 1533-position model. The record is from RNAcentral. Lineage: Bacteria; Pseudomonadati; Bacteroidota; Bacteroidia; Bacteroidales; Bacteroidaceae.
UGAGGAAUAUUGGUCAANGGGCGUAAGCCUGAACCAGCCAAGUCGCGUGAAGGAUGACNGCCCUAUGGGUNGUAAACUUCUUUUAUAAAGGAAUAAAGUCGGGUAUGCAUACCCGUUUGCAUGUACUUUAUGAAUAAGGAUCGGCUAACUCCGUGCCAGCAGCCGCGGUAAUACGGAGGAUCCGAGCGUUAUCCGGAUUUAUUGGGUUUAAAGGGAGCGUAGAUGGAUGUUUAAGUCAGUUGUGAAAGUUUGCGGCUCAACCGUAAAAUUGCAGUUGAUACUGGAUAUCUUGAGUGCAGUUGAGGCAGGCGGAAUUCGUGGUGUAGCGGUGAAAUGCUUAGAUAUCACGAAGAACUCCGAUUGCGAAGGCAGCCUGCUAAGCUGCAACUGACAUUGAGGCUCGAAAGUGUGGGUAUCAAAC